CCCUACGGGGUGCUCCUUGGAUAGGGGUUGUUCCUAGAAGCACAGUAAACAUUAUGUGUUUUAAAGUCUAGGUAUUAUCCGUUCGUAGUAUAGUGGAGAAUAUUAUAGAUUUUCCGUGACCGAUCCUCUCUACCGGGAUUAUUAUCUCAAGGGAAGUGACGGCGUAUAUCCCAUUCAAGAAGCCCUGCUUUGCGUUAGCUUGGGAUUGGUGCAUAGUGAUGGAUUUGCAUAUAAGCUGGUAGCGGCAAUCAUCACCCCUGAAGGACUCGAGUAGGUGCCAUGUCCGAGACAGUUUACACCAUAGGUUAUUCCACGCACUCCACCGAUGAGGUGUUGAAGCUCUUUAGACGGCACGGCAUCACGGCGGUGGCAGAUGUGAGGUCCCAGCCAUAUAGCCGGGUCAACCGGCAGUUUAAUCGUGAGCCCCUCAGGCAAACCCUUACGACCGAGGGCAUUGCUUAUGUUUUCCUCGGGAAGGAAUUGGCGGGGGGGC
This 493-nucleotide ribosomal RNA is filed under the name uncultured prokaryote. RNAcentral describes it as "partial 16S ribosomal RNA". The record is from RNAcentral.